AUGCAAAACAAGUUAAGCAAGCAUACCACAGUCUACUUCAGUGAACAAACUAACUCCCACCUAUCUCAGCUGGGAAUGCGGCGCGAGCUUUAUUCCGUGAAACACGACCCCAGAGAGCCUCAAGUCCCGGGACAAACUCGUCCCACACAGCAGCUGAGCAUUUAUUGUGGAGGAUAUUUUGGAGGGGAUCGUGCCUUUUCUUUUUUGCUGCCUUCCCUGCCCCGGCCCCGAGGGGGGAGGCGGCCCCGGCUGUGGCGGGCGGCGGUGCUGCCGCCUUGUGGGCAGAAAGAGGUACUGCAGCCCCCCACCAAGGGCCUCACGUGGCCGCCAUCUUGGGAGUGGCUUGUCACGGACUCGCUUGACCUUUCCAACAUGACGGCAAAAAAAAAAAAAAAAAAAGAGCGGGAAAAUCGAGGCGCUUGCUCUGCGUGUUGCCCUGCCGGCACGCCACACAAACGCCGGCACCGCCCCGCCGCGAUUUCCUGCGGCCAUUCCAGUACUUCACGCAUGGGCUGUUGCUUCAGUCGCGCCGCGGGUCUGCGGGUUUCAGGCGGGCGCCGACAGGCAUCGGCAGAUUCGCCUCUCUGUGCCCAGGUCCUGCAGUGGCCGCCAUCCUGGGCAUGCCCUGUGCCUCUGCCGUGCCGCGCGGGGCGCCCGUCCCGUCCCCUCUCAUCCCCUCCCGCCCUGUCCCACGGCCUCCCUGCCAUACAGGUCCGUGCUGAAGAGUGGGAGACAGGUCCCCACUGGUUGCCGUGUCCUUGGUGGGCAGAGAACUCUGACCUCGGCCAGAUGGGCUGUUUCUGUUUCUGGGUGUUUUGA
This 819-nucleotide long non-coding RNA is filed under the name Chloebia gouldiae (Gouldian finch). RNAcentral's name for it is "Erythrura gouldiae (Gouldian finch) lncRNA (ENSEGOG00005005193.1)". Lineage: Eukaryota; Metazoa; Chordata; Aves; Passeriformes; Passeridae. The record is from RNAcentral.